RNAcentral lists this long non-coding RNA (259 nucleotides) under Elaeis guineensis (African oil palm). RNAcentral describes it as "long non-coding RNA (EGUI_LNC062510)". The record is from RNAcentral. Lineage: Eukaryota; Viridiplantae; Streptophyta; Magnoliopsida; Arecales; Arecaceae.
GGUCAGGUAGUAAUGGAGCCGCGUGGGAUCCGUUAUAGGGAGUGGAGCAGUGCUGCGAUCGUUACUGCGGCCUGUCAGGGAGUGGUGGAGCUGUGCGGAAUCUGCCGCAGGAAAUGUAGCAGAAUCGUGGCCGUGAUUGUGGCCUGGGAGUGCAGAUCUGUCGGCUGAAGUUCGGCAGUGGUCGGAGUCCGGCCAUCGUAGAGGUCCGAAUGAAGACUGUCUGCAGCCGUUGGAAUCGAGGACGGAGCCCGGCUCCCAC